CUUGGUCCAGUCUUUGAUGAGGAAGCACCAAGCAUCAACAUGGACAGUCAUCUUUGCUUUGAUCCCGGCACAACUCCUCCCAUUUUAUCCACUGACAUUCAAGAGCACUGCUCGUCUUGAAUAUGUUCUAUGGUGUUUCAUGCCUUGAAAGCAUUCUGAUUUGCAACACCUUCUUUGAAAAACAUAUUGAGCCUUGGAAAAGCUGAAAUGUGUGCAACUUGUUCUUGGAAAAUAUAGCUUGAUUUCUGAUUUGCACAAGUACAUGUCUUGCACAUAUGAUCCUGGUAUUUUAAUG
Long non-coding RNA from Raphanus sativus (radish), 295 nucleotides. RefSeq lists it as uncharacterized. The record is from RefSeq and is a predicted model, not a curated record. NCBI's taxonomy places the organism in Eukaryota, Viridiplantae, Streptophyta, Magnoliopsida, Brassicales, Brassicaceae. The transcript is spliced from 3 exons.